This 465-nucleotide ribosomal RNA is filed under the name uncultured bacterium. Its description in RNAcentral is "partial 16S ribosomal RNA". It matches the Rfam family "Bacterial small subunit ribosomal RNA", at positions 28 to 507 of the family's 1533-position model. The record is from RNAcentral.
GACGAACGCUGGCGGCGUGCUUAACACAUGCAAGUCGAACGGAAAGGCCCCUUCGGGGGUACUCGAGUGGCGAACGGGUGAGUAACACGGGAGUAACCUGCCCUUGACUUCGGGAUAACUUCAGGAAACUGGGGCUAAUACCGGAUAGGAAUCCUUGCUGCAUGGGGGGGGUUGGAAAGCUUCGGCGGUUUUGGAUGGACUCGCGGCUUAUCAGCUUGUUGGUGGGGUAGUGGCUUACCAAGGCUUUGACGGGUAGCCGGCCUGAGAGGGCGACCGGCCACAUUGGGACUGAGAUCCGGCCCAGACUCCUACGGGAGGCAGCAGUGGGGAAUAUUGCACAAUGGGCGGAAGCCUGAUGCAGCAACGCCGCGUGCGGGAUGACGGCCUUCGGGUUGUAAACCGCUUUCAGCAGGGGCGAAGCUUGUGGUGACGGUACCUGCAGAAGAAGCACCGGCUAACUACGUG